RNAcentral lists this ribosomal RNA (253 nucleotides) under uncultured bacterium. RNAcentral's name for it is "partial 16S ribosomal RNA". It matches the Rfam family "Bacterial small subunit ribosomal RNA", at positions 524 to 776 of the family's 1533-position model. The record is from RNAcentral.
UACGUAGGGUGCAAGCGUUAAUCGGAAUUACUGGGCGUAAAGCGUGCGCAGGCGGUUUUGUAAGUCAGAUGUGAAAUCCCCGAGCUCAACCUGGGAACUGCGUUUGUAACUGGCAAGCUAGAGUGUGGCAGAGGGGGGUGGAAUUCCAAGUGUAGCAGUGAAAUGCGUAGAUAUUUGGAGGAACACCGAUGGCGAAGGCAGCCCCCUGGGCUAACACUGACGCUCAUGCACGAAAGCGUGGGGAGCAAACAGG